GGAAGUGGGAUGACGUCAAGUCCUCAUGGCCUUUAUGCCCAGGGCUACACACGUGCUACAAUGGGUGGUACAAAGAGAGGCAAGCUCGCGAGAGUAAGCAAAUCUCAAAAAGCCAUCCUCAGUUCGGAUUGGAGUCUGCAACUCGACCCCAUGAAGUCGGAAUCGCUAGUAAUCGCGGAUCAGCAUGCCGCGGUGAAUACGUUCCCGGGGCUU
Molecule: ribosomal RNA, 213 nt
Filed under: uncultured Syntrophus sp.
Lineage: Bacteria; Pseudomonadati; Thermodesulfobacteriota; Syntrophia; Syntrophales; Syntrophaceae
Description: partial 16S ribosomal RNA
Rfam family: Bacterial small subunit ribosomal RNA
Source: RNAcentral